AUGACCUCCUCCUACCAGCCGCCCGCCACGACGAACCUGGAGGCGCCGGCGCCGGUACCCAAGGUGAAGGCUGCAGCGGUGGUGACCCAAAACCCUAGCUUCCCCAGCGGCCCGCCGUCGCCGGAGAUGGAGGCCACGGCGGAGGCGCUCACGCGGGAGGAGGUGCUGCGCCGGAGGCGGCGCCGCGCCACGCGGCUCCUUGCCGCGUACCGCCGGCUGUACUGGGCCAUGGCAGAGGAGGUGCGCGCCCGGCACCAGCAGUACGUCUGGGAGCUCGGCUGCAGCCCGCUUGAGGCCGAGCAGCCGCUUCCGGCCACGGCAUCGGAGGCGAAGCCUGCCCCGGCAGCGGUGCCGAGGAGGAAGAAGUGUGGCAUAACAGGGUGCAAGGUGCGGGCGAUGGCCAUGGCCAAGUACUGCCACUACCACAUCCUCUCCGAUCCCAAUCAGGUACUCUACAAGGGUUGUGGCCACAUCAUGGUCAAGAGUGGUGCACAGAUUGGGAAAAGUACUCACAACACGCCCAUCCUAAAAGCAUCAGUUCCCUCCCUCUGCAAUGUUCACUUGCAAAGAUCUCAGAAGAAUAUAUCACAAGCUUACAAGAUAGUUGGCUUUAAUCCACCUCCCACCGGUCAAAUCUCCCCAGAUUUCAGUGUCUUGGUUGCCGAAUGUGUCCGUCAGAUCCAGGCUACAAGGAGAGAGUCCCGAAGUGCCAGGGCAGGGAAGAAAUAG
This 729-nucleotide ribosomal RNA is filed under the name Triticum aestivum (bread wheat). RNAcentral's name for it is "partial small subunit ribosomal RNA". Lineage: Eukaryota; Viridiplantae; Streptophyta; Magnoliopsida; Poales; Poaceae. The record is from RNAcentral.